Molecule: long non-coding RNA, 1103 nt
Organism: Eutrema salsugineum
Lineage: Eukaryota; Viridiplantae; Streptophyta; Magnoliopsida; Brassicales; Brassicaceae
Exons: 3
Source: RefSeq, a predicted model, not a curated record
CUUUUUUUUUUUUAAAUUAUUUUGGCAUAACUAAUAUGGGUUUUCUUGUUUGUAUUUUCUUUCUUGGUUGUGGUGUUUACGAGUCUGAUUUUUGGUUUGGCUGAGUGGUCUAUUUGCAUGUCAUUUUUUUUGUAUUGUUCUUAGUUAGGGUGUUUUAUAUUUGUUAUUGAUUAUGUGUUGUGUGCGUUGAUCGAUACUUUCUGGUUGCUUUCCUUUUUUUUUUUUAAUUUUGGUGAUAGUGACCCUCGAUUUUCAUUUUUUUUUUUUUGCGUUCUUGGUUGUGCUUCGUUAAUAAUUGAUCAUUUACUUUUUUUUGUCUGUGUAGGUGGGUCUAGCUCUUUGUGUUUGUUUUAUGUUUGCUUGCUAAGUAUGUUUUAUCUAUUUUGAUUGGAUCUACAUGUUUAAGGUUUAUUCAUCUCUGUUCAGUUUUGUACUAAUAUUGAUGCUGAUGAAUUUAUCCCAGUCCUGAGAUGUGAGAUUACUUACGUCUAGAUCUUGAUCACAACAUGUCGUUUCAAUUCCACUGUGUGGACUCGGUAGCCAGGUCAGAGAUCUUUUCCAGACUACGAUAAAAAUCAGUCUGGGUUUUGGAUUGUUUGAGGAAAAGAUGAGAGCAUAGAGCUGGAAUGCAUCGUUACAAUUUGGGAUCGGCUGUAUAUCGGCCGGGUUUAGUGAAUAUCUUGGUGAGAGAAGCAGUGGCUUUAUUAGAAGAGAAAAGAAAGAUGAAAGCAAUGAACAAAAUGGGACAGAGCGGGAAGCUGUGGAAGUGGAAGAGAACUAGCUAGAGAAGUUACCAUCAAUGGCUGUUUCAGUUUAAAUGGAAAUGGCAUAAACCAUGGAAACUCUCUUAGUGAAUAAAGCAUGACGAUGAGACCGUGGAAACUAUGCUCUUCAUGUCUAAGACUCAUGAUGAUGAUGAUGAUCACCCGUGGAAUUGACACUGAAAUUUUUCAAGGUGCUUAUAACGUUGUACUUAGGUUGAUCCGUAAAAUAUCUGUAUAUACACGAGCCUUUUUUUCUUUUCUUUUUUUUUUGUUAAUAGAUUAAGAGUUUUUCUGUUUGUGUGCACAGUCUAAGAACAUUAUAAUACAUUUUAUACACAA